RNAcentral lists this long non-coding RNA (4942 nucleotides) under Sus scrofa (pig). RNAcentral describes it as "lncRNA (ENSSSCG00000044415.1)". Lineage: Eukaryota; Metazoa; Chordata; Mammalia; Artiodactyla; Suidae. The record is from RNAcentral.
CAUUUGCAAGAAACAUGGGCCAUAGUUAUACAUUCUAAGAAUAGCUCUUUUAUUCCAUCCAGAAUCCAGGAAAAAAGAAAAUAGUAUAUAUUUUUUUUAUUUCCACUUUCACUAAAGUUGUAGCCUUUUGCAAUUCCUAAUAUUACAUGGAGAUUAAACUCAGUUCAUUGGAUAGUCCCAAAUCCUAAUCUGCCGUCUUCUUCUGAGCAUCAGAAAUGAAGUCCUUAGGUUACCAUGACUAAUAAUUUCUCCCACCCAAUUGAUCUCCCAUCCCAUCCCCACAGCUACAGUAUCAGCUACUGGGCUCACUACUAAGGUUCAUUUCUCAAACCUAAGGAGUACUUUCCUAUAGAUCAGCCAUGCAUUUAAAUAUAUGUUAGUUAUUUUUUUAAUUGUAGUGGUAGGCUAUUUGUGUUUUACUUUGUUUUCUCUAGAACAGUAUUUAUCAGCCAUUUAUUUACCAGGGCACACAUUUUAAAAUAUUAUUUGACAUUCUGGGGUUAAAUGGAAGAAGAGAAGGCUGGCUUUGCCACUUAGCAGCCAAAUGACCUUGGGCAACUUACUUAACUUCUCCAUAACUCAGUUCUCUCAUGUGUAAAAUGGACAUAGCAGUACCUACCUUAUAAGGUUGCUGUAAGAAUUAAGGGAAAUGAUAUCUGUUAAGUGAUUAGAACUUAGCAAACACUGUAAGUAUUUGUUACAUAAAAAUGAAAACAAAGAAGAAAAUCAGUUUUAUAUUGUAUUAACAUGUAUAUUUAAGACAAAGAAAUUCCUUUUUGCUUUAAAAUCUGGUGCUUAUUGUUAAGACAGAGGAUUAACAAGAAGUAAACAUAUUUUCACCUAAAGUCACUAGGGUAACAAACUUGCAGUUGAACAGUAACAAUCACUCAAUUUGGUUCUCAUCACUCAACAACACUUCUCUUUUCUAUCCUAUAUAUUCACCUUGUCACUCACAUGUCUCAAGUUCCUAUAAGCAAAAAAUUGUAAAUGACAAGGAAAGUGACUACUGCAUCUCUCCACUUCCCACUCAGAAAAGCAUUCAGAGUUUCUAGGAAACAACCAAAUUCCCAAAGGAAAUGUCAUUUAAAGGAUUAAAGGGGUUUACUUUUUGUUGUUUUCGUUCUAACUUCCCUGGAGCAAGCACUUUGGCAUGUUGCUUCUUGAAACUAUCUGCCAGUACCAGUUCAGUGGAAAGUAACUUCCUGAGAAGCACUCUGAGAUUUCCACUGAUCCAUGUAUCUUUGCAGAAAAAGCUAAACAUCUAUAUGUGUAUAUAAAGUUUAAACUUAACUCUUCCUCUGAUUUGAAUCAAUAUUUAAAACUUGGAUUUCCAUCUCUCAGUCCAGCUAACAAUUACCCAACAGCUCAUACAGUGCUUGUCACAUCCUUUCCUAUGAUCUCUAUUAUAGGUCCCUCCUCACCCAUCCCACCCAAGUACAGUAUUUUAGGAAAUGCUUCUCUAAUUAUUCAUUUAAGAAACAAAAGAAUCUUUAGCCUUUAAGCUAAGGCUUAUCUAAUGUGGAUAAGUUUUAAAGUCAAAACAAAGAGGAAAUACAUUCACAAUUAGGGAAAAAAACUGCACAAAUCAAUGACAAAGGAGUCCAGUGACAUCUAAAUCCAACACAGGUGCUUCCCCUCUUGGCACUGACUCCAGUGGUUGUUUCCUCAGUCAAGAACCAGGACCAGAUGAUGGAGCUUGUUUGUGUUUAGGAAUAAUAUUGUUAGGAAAAUAUCUCUAAAAACCAGAAUUGCCAUCAGGGCAGUGAGAGGCUCCCACUCCAAAAGUUAUGUGACCACUGUGGCACACAAGGAAGACAACUAACUCACAUCUAACACAAACGGACUGUGGAAGAGCAAGAGGCAUCACCUGCUCUAUUUAAAACACCCUACCUCCCUUCCCCCGAGUUAAGUAUAAUCAGAUUUUAUAUCAUCCUUGGUAUUCACAACGAUGGAAAAACUUGUUCUCGCUGGUUUCCAACACUUUUCUAAAUUAAAAGAAAAAAGAAAGGAGAACAGCAUUUGGGUCAGUGACAAUUCAAGGCCUAUCUUAGAUUUCACAGAGGAAUAGUCAUCAAAGAGGGUCAUAAAGUAGAAUUUGACAUAAAUGAUAUAAUCUCUGGUUUACAUGCUACUAAGCCUGCUUAUUGAUGCUUAAAAUGGCUGAACAUUCGGUAAUAGCAUUACUGUUUUCAGAAUAUCAAAAUUUUCUCACAUUUAAACUGUCAAGCCUUUUGCUAAAAAGACAUUCAUUUAAUAUUUCAAAGAGAAAAAGGAAAAUGUGCAAUUCAAUAUAUCCAUUCCAUACUGGGAGCUCCAGGGUUUGAGAUUAUUUAAGAUUCAUAGGUGACAUGAUAGUUGUCUUCAACUAUGUGGAUGUCUGCCAGAAAAAUUCAGUUUAUUGGAACUAGGAUCAAGAUUGAGAUUGUAAAAAGGCAUAUAUUAACUCACAACAUAGGGUGUAAGUUUUUAACAAUUAGAGCUGCCAGAGUAUGAGAGUAGGCUCUCUUAUAAUGUAAGGGAUUUUCUAUCACUAGAUUUAUAAAAGGAACAAUGAUAGAGCAAAGCAUCUGGCAUAUGGUAGUUUCUCAAAUAUUUGUAAAUUUAAAUCACACCCAACCUGGUUGAUUCCUUAUCUGGGCACCAUUACUGGGAAUGAUUUGAAUGAAAUAAUUUCUGAGAUCUCUUUCAGUUCUGAAAGUAUUAGCUAGCAGAAGAAAUCAUUUACUGACUUUAUACUUUCAUUUCUCUAUUUUUAAAAUACAUGUUGACUUGGGGCUCUUGAAGAAACAGUCAAGUGUCAUAUCCAGUCAGCCAGCUGUACAAGGCAAGCUAUGAUGUGGAGAAAAUGGUUACAACACAGACUAAGGUUAGUCAAGGGACCUCAGCCCAGUCUCAACAGCAGUAGUUCUAGACCAGACUGCAAGUUGGGAAUAACCAAGCAAGCCAAUAUCCUUUGAACUGAGGGUAAAACUAUCUCCUCAUGUGGUGAUUGUGUUUGCAGUCCUGCUAAAAAACAAAUUGGGAUUGCUUCCAAAGGUCACAAUCAUUUGCUUAUUCUGGAAACUCUUGGCUUUUUAUUGGAAAUAAACCAAGGUAUCAGAAGUCUGAUAAGAUACAUAUGCUACAAAUUUGUUUUUACAUUAGUUUAGGAUAAGGCUAAACUGCUGUUAUAGAAAGACCCCAAAAUGCAGUGACUUAGGAACACAGACACUUAUCUUUCUCAUUUGACGUAUCUGAGAAAAAUCAGUGAUCAGUGAGGCAGCUCUGCCCCACAUAAUCAUUCUGAAUACCAGAUUCCUCCCACUUUGCUGCCUAGCCAUCCCCAGACCACCGGCACCAUCUGCAUGGUUGAAGAUGGGUUGCCACCAAAUCAGCAUCCCAGGCAAUGAAAGGAGCAAGAAACCCUGUGGCAGUCAUGCCUCACACCUUAAGACUCAAGAAUGGAAACAGCAUACAUGGUUUCUCCUGAAGUCUCAGGUGUGAAAACUUAAUUACAUGGCCAUACCAAACUAAGUGGGAGAUUUGGAGAUGUCGCCUAACUUAGUAAGAAAUUUGUGGAAAGCUAACAGUGGACACCACCAUUGUCCUUCUUUUUGUGAGUUGUACUUCACGGGUACCUAGAUACUUUCACUUAGGAGCUCACACACCCCUGGGUAUAGCACUUCCUCUCUCUGACAAUGUCCACCGAAGAAGGACUGAGUGAAUAUUUGAGAGUGACCAAGAGCAAGCAUCUACUAUCAUCUACUCUUUAGCACAUGUUACUACAUUUAAACCCUGACACACAGCAGGCUUUUGCACUGGUAAAAGGGCCAUUGCCACUGAUAUCUGCCAUGGAAGGAAGUGAUGUCCCAUAUAGGGGUGGAGCAAAGAACAGAGUUUAAAAAGGCUUCCUCCUACCUAUCCACUGCUCUGUCACCCAAUGCCAGGCUUCAGGCAAUACUCUCUCCCCACCUCCAUCUCUCUCUGUACUCCUGUGCAAGUUUUUAAAAUUACUUAAAUCUUAGUUUUCCAUAAGAGGAGAUGGUAAUACCCACAAAAAAAGUUUGUAAAUUAAGUGGCAUAUAUAUGUAAAAAUCUCACUAUCCUGUCUGAAACACUGAAGUAGUCAAUAAACAUUAACCCUUAAACUCCCCUCUUCACAGAGCUUCUAAUAGAAUGUUAAGAGAGCUGCAAUCUGAUCUGUGACAAGGUCACUUUCUUGUUUUUGAUGAAAUCACCUAAUCAUAAAUAUCUAGGCCAAGUCACAGAAACCUAGAUGUAUCUAGGGAGCCGACAAUAAAUUCUAGGGCUCCUUUCUAGCUAUCACCAUCUCUGAUGCAGAAUGAAACCAAUUAGCAUGAUUUGCAUUUCCAGGACAUCCUAGAGGCAGCCAUGAUACUUUUUAUGGCUGAGUGAACUACCUUAUCAGAAUGUUUUGGAAAAGGUUCUACUACUUCUUCACCAGCAAAGACUAUGAACAACUUAGAUUCCCAUAACCAAUCCACCACUGGAAACUAAAGAAAAGAGUUUGGACUAGUCUGCUUGAGAGAGAAAGAGAGACAAACAGAGAUGCCAAUGGCACACUACUAUAUGCAUGAGAUUUCUGAGAUUUCAUCCUCCCUAGAGUUUUGCUAUUAAAAUAUUCUCCCUUUUAUGAACUGAUGAACAGUAGACAUAGUUUUUUGUUGUGGUUGAAUGUCCUCAAGAAAUGUAAAGUUAGUUUUGGAGUUUCGGUCAUGGCUCAGUGGUUAAUGAACCCAACUAAGAUCCUUGAGGAUGUGGUUCGAUCCCUGGCCUCAUUCAGUGGGUUAAGGAUCCAGCUUUGCCUUGAGCUGUGGUGUAGGUCGCAGACGCAGCUCUGAUCUGACAUUGCUGUAGCUCUGGUGUAAGCUGCCAACUACAGCUCCGAUUCGACCCCUAGCCUGGGAACCUCCAUAUGCCACAAGUGUGGCUCUAAAAAGAC